CUAUUCUAAGCGGUGGAUCACUAGGCUCGCAGGUCGAUGAAGAACGCAGCUAGCUGCGAGAAUUAAUGUGAAUUGCAGACACAUUGAACAUCGACAUUUCGAACGCAUAUUGCGGAAGUGGGUUUCUCCCGCUUCCAGGUUCUCUUGACGGCGUCACU
Molecule: ribosomal RNA, 158 nt
Filed under: Paratrichodorus macrostylus
Lineage: Eukaryota; Metazoa; Nematoda; Enoplea; Triplonchida; Trichodoridae
Description: 5.8S ribosomal RNA
Rfam family: 5.8S ribosomal RNA
About the family: 5.8S ribosomal RNA (5.8S rRNA) is a component of the large subunit of the eukaryotic ribosome. It is transcribed by RNA polymerase I as part of the 45S precursor that also contains 18S and 28S rRNA. Functionally, it is thought that 5.8S rRNA may be involved in ribosome translocation.
Source: RNAcentral